This 657-nucleotide long non-coding RNA is filed under the name Olea europaea subsp. europaea. The record is from RNAcentral. Lineage: Eukaryota; Viridiplantae; Streptophyta; Magnoliopsida; Lamiales; Oleaceae.
GAAGUGCGAUGGUUUGGAAUUCUCGGAUCCCGACGUUAAUUGAAAGGAUUUGAGUUAAAAAGUCUAAAACAGGCACUGAUCAUCAUACAUUUUUUACUUCUUUUCAUAGCCUUUAUGACCCGAGUGAUUAAGCCUGUAAAACCUGGUGCCCUAAAGUCGUCUGACUCGGGAGUCAUCGGCCUAAAACUCGCUACAGGGGUCAUCUAGAAAGCUUAAUGGAAAGAAGCUUUGCACAUAAGAAAAAAAUAAAAAUAAAUAAACAGUUGGAUUCUCAUAUCAAAAGAAAAAGUAACACAUCUUUUACUUAUCUUCGUAGCCUUUUUGACUCGGGUUAUUAAGCCUGCAAGGGUAUCUAAAAACCCGAUGCCCUAUAGUCGUCUGACUUGGGAGUCAUCGACCUAAAGCUCGCAACAUGGGUCAUUUAAAAAGCUUAAUGAAGAGAAGUCUUGCACAGGAAAUGUCAAAAAAAAAUGAAGAAGAAAAAUUGAGAUAUAAAUUAUCAAAAGUAAGAUGUGCCUAGUAAUGACUUUGAGAUUUGAAUUCUAGAGAUUGGUGGUGUGGUUAUGAGAAAGACUUACUAUCUCUCGUUCUAGGUUUACAAGUAUCUAAUUCUGAACACUUGUGCGGAAAAAUGCAUCAUAAUGAUUUUUAGAAACC